CUACGGGGGGCUGCAGUGGGGAAUAUUGCACAAUGGGGGAAACCCUGAUGCAGCGACGCCGCGUGAAGGAUGAAGGUCUUCGGAUCGUAAACUUCUAUCAGCAGGGAAGAAACAAAUGACGGUACCUGACUAAGAAGCUCCGGCUAACUACGUGCCAGCAGCCGCGGUAAUACGUAGGGAGCGAGCGUUAUCCGGAUUUACUGGGUGUAAAGGGUGCGUAGGCGGCCUGGUAAGUUAGAAGUGAAAUUUUGGGGCUCAACCCCAGAGCUGCUUCUAAAACUGCUGGGCUAGAGUGCAGGAGAGGAAAGCGGAACUCCACGUGUAGCGGUGAAAUGCGUAGAGAUGUGGAGGAACACCAGUAGCGAAGGCGGCUUUCUGGACUGUAACUGACGCUGAGGCACGAAAGCGUGGGGAGCAAACAGGAUUAGAUACCCUCGUAGUC
This 442-nucleotide ribosomal RNA is filed under the name uncultured bacterium. Its description in RNAcentral is "partial 16S ribosomal RNA". It matches the Rfam family "Bacterial small subunit ribosomal RNA", at positions 339 to 795 of the family's 1533-position model. The record is from RNAcentral.